RNAcentral lists this ribosomal RNA (253 nucleotides) under uncultured bacterium. Its description in RNAcentral is "partial 16S ribosomal RNA". It matches the Rfam family "Bacterial small subunit ribosomal RNA", at positions 524 to 776 of the family's 1533-position model. The record is from RNAcentral.
UACGUAGGGUGCAAGCGUUAAUCGGAAUUACUGGGCGUAAAGGGUGCGCAGGCGGUUCUGUAAGUCAGAUGUGAAAUCCCCGGGCUUAACCUGGGAAUUGCGUUUGAAACUGCAGAACUAGAGUGCGGCAGAGGGAGGUGGAAUUCCAUGUGUAGCAGUGAAAUGCGUAGAGAUAUGGAAGAACAUCGAUGGCGAAGGCAACCUCCUGGGCUAGCACUGACGCUCAUGCACGAAAGCGUGGGGAGCAAACAGG